AGAUGUGAGAGACAAAUCUAAAGAAGUUGAAAGUAUGAUAUAUCCUAAUCCAACACAUUUACCCAUUAGGGUCGAUCUCAAUCUGCCUCAUGACCCACAUUAUCAAUAGCAAUUAAGAUGGGCCCCUUGUUUUUGUUCUCAUGCAUCUACUUGUUUUAUCUUUAAUCAAGGAUAGCAACGGAUUGAAUUGGAUAGACUGGUAUUAAUAUUUGUUCUGUAAUUAAAUUUUUUAUUUUUAUAUUUAAUUUAAAUCUAUCUCAAAUCGAAUCAGAUUAAAUAGAAAUAUCGAUCACGUUGGAUUGGGUAGGCAAGAGGAGUCG
RNAcentral lists this long non-coding RNA (320 nucleotides) under Elaeis guineensis (African oil palm). RNAcentral describes it as "long non-coding RNA (EGUI_LNC010808)". The record is from RNAcentral. Lineage: Eukaryota; Viridiplantae; Streptophyta; Magnoliopsida; Arecales; Arecaceae.